Ixodes scapularis (black-legged tick) is the source of this 411-nucleotide long non-coding RNA. RefSeq lists it as uncharacterized. The transcript has 3 exons. The record is from RefSeq and is a predicted model, not a curated record. Lineage: Eukaryota; Metazoa; Arthropoda; Arachnida; Ixodida; Ixodidae.
UAACGUGCUGGCCCAAGCCCGGCCCGGGCCCACAGUCAAAAGUCCGAGCCCAUCCCAGGCCUGGGCUUUCGGCUCAGCAAAGUCUGCGGAUCUGGUUAUGCUUCCUGUACGAGACAGAUCACGAAGCGGUUGCUGACUGACCAGUUGGGGCGAAAAUUUUCGUGAGAAGGACGUAAGAGAAAGUUGACAUUCAGGAACCUUCACCUUGCUGAGUGCAUCAUAAAUGCAGUGCAGAGCUGCCAUAAAUGUGAAGACUUCAAGGUAGGAACCAUGGUCACGGAUUAACUUCGCCACGCACCUGCCUGACAUCAGUCAUCUCAAAUGGUAAGCUGGUCUUAUUAAGCUGAUGUUAGCACAAAAAUCAAACUUUUCUAGAACAGUAAGUAUGGUGUGCAAUUUCUUCAAAGCAUA